AGGGGCGAGGUCGGCCGCUGCCCCAGGAGGAAGCCGGGGCCGGGCCGGGAAGGUGCAAAUCUCUGCACGUGAGCCUGCCAGCCUCGUCUCAUCACAACCCUGAGUGUUUUGACUGAGAAGCUCUACCUGCCUCUCGGGAUUGAUGUGAAGAUUAAUGCCUGUUUAGCAAAUUACAGCUUCCCCGGCACCUCCUGCUCCUGGGAGAGAAGGAGCCUUGGAAACGGAAAAUAAAAACAAAUCUCAGCGCUCCGUGUCAAGGCUUGGCCGUGGCCAUGACAGCUGGGCCCGACUCGACAGAGCGUGGAGGCUUAGCAAAGCCAGGAGCUGUGCUGGUGAGAUUUCUGGUCUCAAGAAUCAGAGAGGAGAGGCCCAUCAGGCUGAGAUACCGGGGAGGCACCUGACGGAGCUGUGUCUGCCAAGCCUGCCUUGUGUCCAGGUAACCAGCCAGAAAGACGACCUUGUUUCCUCAAGGGCUGGGGAGGGAGACACGGGCCCGGCUGGCUUGGAGCCCAAGGUAGAGGGGCGCGGGGAGGGGAGCCAGGAUGUGCUGAGCUGGCAGGUUGAGCACUGCCCGUGCACAGCUCUGCAUACAUUUUGUGCCUUCGAUGUCCUCACCUUGGAGGAGAGUCGUAGCUUGUGUUCUAACCAGCUGUCCCAGUGUGUGAGGUUUCACAUGAUUUACUAAAGGGGGGGAAACAUUUGUUUCUUGCCGCAGACAUCCAAGAGAGCCCUCGUGAUGCAUGGCAGAGGAAUUGGCACAGAGGCUGCUGGAGCCCUGGCCCUGGUGGCGAUCAUCAUGCUCUGAGCAUCAAGGAGGGAGGGAAGCAGGGGCUGGAGCCCAGGGGGCCCCCGAGCGGAGACAGAGCCGAGGUGGGGAGGAGGGACGGAAUCGGUUGUGCUUGUCACCACGCUCCAGACUCAUCCAGCCUCAAGCGGGGGAGCCUGGCCAGCAGGUCUGAGAAAGCCAUCGCAGAGCUCCAGCCGCUGUGGCCUUCCCAGGCAAGCCAUGCGGCUGUGAAGUCUGGUGUGAAGAUGCUCUUCUAGCACCUUGCACACACUGAGCGCUCAAAAACGGACGGCACCACCACUAGUUAUCACCUCUCGCGAGAGGCCGGGGGUCUUCGGGACGGGACGGGGGCGGGGNUUGCCCCGGCCGGGCCCCUCCCGCCCCUCAGCUCCUGUUCUUGCCUUUUGUUCCUCCGAACCCAUGUGCAAACGCUGGCUUUGCUGCAUCACCUGGCUGAGCCCCAGGGUCAUGGCACUUACCUAGCCCUGGGCGAUGCUCGGAGCGUGGUGGCAAUGGUUUCUAGGCAACACUACCCUUCUGGGAGCACCUUGGACUGUGGGCCGGGCCUUGAAGAGGUCUGAAGGCUGAAGUUUGAUAGGGGCCUGGUGCCAAAGCAGCUGUCGGAACCAGGGCUGGGGGGGGGGGGCAUCCAGAUGGGACGGUGAGCGUGGCCAGGCCCCAAGCUCCAGGCACUUCAGCCUCAGCAGCCACGGUGGCAGAUGCUAGGACAGCCAACUGGGCAGAUGCCAGGGGCCCGGCGUGGCCUGGCUGAUGGAGGAUUGUACCACUGGGGAUGCAGAAGGGUGGCUGGCAGCAGGGCCCCGCACCCCAGGAGAGGGAUUCAAAGUCAGGAUUCUGCAGGCAUGCUGAAACCAUGGUGGCCCUCUGGUCCUUUCGGUAGUGGUGAGGGGAUGAGGCAGGCAGCACGGAAGCAGAAGGCCCUUCAGGAGCCCAUGUCCCAGGUGGGGGCCUUGGCCAGGAAGACCCGUUUCCAAAGACCUGGGCCCAAGGUAGGAGGGACACAGCUGGCCUGAGCCACCAGCAGCUUCGGGGCCUCCUGUCCCUGCCCUGGCCAGUGUUUUUGUUUUUGCUUUUCUUUGCUUUUUAGGGCUGCAUCAGCAGCACAUGAAAGUUCCCAGGCUAAGGGUCGAAUCGGAGUUGUAGCCACUGGCCUACACCACAGCCACUGCAACACAAGAUCCAAGCUGCAUCUGUGGCCUAUCCCACGGCUCAUGGCAAUGUUGGAUCCUUAACCCACUGAGCAAGGCCAGGGAUCAAUCCCACAUCCUUGUGGAUACUAGUCAGGUUCCUAGCCCACUGAGCCACAACAGAAACUCCUGCCCUGGCCAGUGUUGACUGCACCACAUCAGAUCAAGAGCUUCCUGAGGUCCUGGACAGGACUGACAGACAGAAGGGUCAAGCUGGUGGCCAGAACGGCUCCAGGUGCAACAUGCAUGCUUAAUACCCAUCCACACGGGCACCACAGGGAAUGGGAUUGAGCAGCAUUUUGGCGACGUCACCUUUCCCAGCAGAGAAUUCCGUGGGCUUUAUUUCGAUCCCCAACACGAAGGCCAUGAAAGGCUAUGGUACUCUGGCUUAGGAGCUCUACGGACAAAGCAGAUGCCACCCGGGGUUUCCAGGGAGCGGAAUUCGCUCAUCCUGAUUCCUGUGGUUACGCUUGCAGAACGAAAGGAUUCCUCCAUAGCCAUGUCAUUUCAACAGCGCGGUGGCGAGGAGCAGCGAGGGACCUUCUCCAGCGUCCUAUUUAUGAAAACAAUAGCUCAAGUUCACGGUAUUAACCGUCACCACAGGCACUGCCCUUCUCCCGACUCGCCCUCUCCCCACGCAUAUAAAUAGGCGCGCACACAUAAAUACGUACAAACACACACACACUCAAAAUACACAUACACCCAAACACAAACUCACAGAAAUGCACACACACACACACACACACACACACACACACACACACACACGCAGAAACAGAUUCAGACACGUACACACAUCUUGAUGAAAAUGGAGAAUUUCAGUUUGGAGGAAAAAAGCAGAGCAAGCAGAUUUCCUGCUCCUUAGGAAGACAGUGUGGACAGAACCUCUUCCCGGCAUUGGGAUAAAGGUUCUCCAUCCUAUUCUGGUGCCUUCCAGCUCUUUUUGGACUCUGUAGGAUAAAGGACAGAGAGGCGGGCACUGCUGGGCCCCAUCUGGCUCUGUGUUCCCUGACUGCCGAGGUCGUGGGCUCUUGGCAGAGGUGAGCCGAGGGUGCUGGCUGCUGAAAAAUUUAAAGCAAACUCUUGCUGCCAUGCUGGCAAUCAGAAGAUGACUAUCAGGCGUCAGUGCUUCUGCCGAACUGGUGGAAACCCACCUGCCUGUGAGGCUGACGGCGGAACCACGGAUGGUACCGUUUUAUGAGCUUCAAACCUAAAAACGUCCUUGGGUUCUACUCACCAAUAUGCCUUCCGGCUUCCUUGGUCUUCCUGGCCAGGAUGGGAAACGCAUCGUACCACUCAGGGUCCAGUGCAAGGAAUGGAGACUGCUCCAGGUAUUUUAAGCAGAAAGGGAUUUAAUACAGGGAAGCUGGUGCUUACAGAAUCACUGGAAGGGGCAGUUGUUCCCUGAAGCCACUGUAACAAAAUGACCACGAACUGGCUGGCUUACCACAACAGGAGUGAAUCCUCUCACUGUUCUGGAAGCCAGAAGUCUGAAGUCAAGGUCGGGCCACGCUCCCUCAGGAGAAUCCUCUACCUCUUCCAGCUUCCGGCGGCUGUCAGCAUGCUUUGUCGCUGCAUUGCUCCUGUCCCUGCCUCUGUCUUGCCCUGGUCCUCCGAUCUCUGUUUUCUCCUCAUCUGUCUAAGGGCAUCUAUCAUUGGAUUUAGGGCCUACCAAGGUCAUCCAGGAUAAUCUCAUCUCCAGAUCCUUAACCUAAUUCCAUCUGUAAAACCUCUUUUUGCCAAAUAAGGUCCCACGUACAGGUUCCAGGCAAUGGGACAUGGACAUAGCUUUUGGGAGGCUACCAUCCAACCCAUUACAGGAGGGCCGUUGUGGAAACUCUAGGCUGGAUCUCCAGGAAUGACGCCCAGAAUCCUGCAAUCCUGACUUGCUGGGGAGCCACCUUCUUUGCCACAUGUGGGAAGGCCAGGAGCCACCAAUAGAGCAGCUGUGUCUAAAAACUCAUGGCUGGAGCUGUGAGCUUGAAAUCAGGAUGCUGCCUCAGCUGCGGCAGCAACUGUCUCUGGACACGGACAAAAUGUGAGUGGACACUGGAAUGCUGCCACAGAAAAUUCCACGUCUUCUCGAGCCCAUCGGUGGCCUGGCAAAGUCGACUACACAGAGUAGAUGGCUGUGGUGGGUUCCUCUGCAUUGUCCGUCUAGCAUCCACUCAUUUAAUUUCCAGGAAAACCUUCGGGUUUUCACCUGGGGAGACGCUCUGUGUCAGCUCCCCGUGGCUCUGUAACGAACUCUCCCCAAACUCCAUGACUUCAAACAAGGACCGUUAUUUCUCACGGUUCUGGGUGCUGACUAGGCUCCGCCGGGCGGUUCUUCUGCUCCUUGUAGUGUCUGGAGGCCCAGCCGUCUGGACUGUCCUAGACGGCUCACCCACGCAGCUGGCAGUAGUGCUGGGUGCUGGCUGGGAGACCGGCGGAGCGUAUUGGCCAAGAUUCUCCCUUGCAUGAGCUUCUCCACAUGGCAGCCACACUCUUCUUUGCUCCUGCCUGGUUCUCAGAUCUGUGGCUGGGCACCUAAGGCCGAUGACACAGCCCUGUUCUCCAUAAGCUCACAGCUCGCUCGGAUGUGUGGCCCCGAGAAGAUGGGGCCAGGAGACGCUCCUCCCCUAGGCUGGGCGGCGAUCUCCGUCUGUGAUGGAUGGAUUGCAAAAUUAGCCCCAUAUUCUUCCCCGCCCUUUGGUAAUGCUCUCCCACGCUGACCUUGAACGUGGACAUUGACUUUACAUGGUGUCACAUCUACCAUGUUUGGGGGCCAAAACAAGGCAUAAGGCUGGCCUCGGUUCAAGGGGAGGGGAAAAACUCUGCCUCUCAGCGGGAGGAGUGGCAAAGAAGUUGUGGGCAACUUUCACCCACCACUCACCCCAACUACUCUCAAGCCAUGGGGUGCUGGUGGAGCUGACACCCCUGCCCAGAGUGGCGUAUGACGCAUGCCGGGCCUGUCAGAACCUUUUUUUCCCCCCCAGCAUCAGUGAUUGGAUCAGAGAUGGUCACCUGAUGCCAGUCAGGUCAAAAUAGCCAUCGGACUCACUUUUGGGGACUUUUUUUUAGAGUCCUUAGGAAAAUAGCCUCUUUGCUUUCCAUGCCAAACCAGAAGCCGAGUAAAUAUAAGGAGAUGCUGCCACCAUCUUGCCAUCAGGAGGGAGCCUAAGAAUGAAGCCAGGGCCAGGAGGAGAGAGAGGGGGCAACUGAGUCCGGACGACACGAGUUAAUGCCUGAAUACAUCUCAUCCGACUUGGACAGCUGGUGGGCAUCCCUGAGCUGAUCUUGCUGCCCGGGAAGUGUGCCAGGGAAAAUGGUUAGGGCUCUACCUGUCCUUCCUUACUACCCACUGCCAGGUGGUAUGUUGAAGCGAACGCAAACCUCAGGUGGAAUCUGACCAGCUGGAUGAUCAUUUAUUAGGAAGCAGGGACAAGGACAGUACCCUGUUCCCGCAGGCUUGCUAAGGGCCCGUUCUGUCCGCGGGCACUCUGACAGGUCCUCUGCAUGCAGGCUUCAUUCUGACGGAGAUGCAGGGCCACUCUCUCGGCGGGGUCAGCCAAGCUUCUGGAGGGAUCAGACACCACGGACCCCUGAAGAUGGGGAAAUGGUCGGAGGCCAAACGGAACUCCAGGUUAGAGUGUUGAGCGGAGGGCGCCAAGAGCUUGUGAUCUUUUUCUUUUUAAAUUGAAGUAUAAUUGAUGUACAACAUUGUAUUAGCUUCAAGUGUACGGCAAAGUGAUCCAGAUACAUAUAUUCUUUUGCAGAUUCUUUUCCAUGAUGGUUUAUUACAA
RNAcentral lists this long non-coding RNA (5780 nucleotides) under Sus scrofa (pig). RNAcentral describes it as "lncRNA (ENSSSCG00040003997.1)". The record is from RNAcentral. Lineage: Eukaryota; Metazoa; Chordata; Mammalia; Artiodactyla; Suidae.